UGCAACAAAAUUAGUUAGAUAUGUUGCCAACCAAUUCCCUUGGUGAAUCGCACUUGAAACAUUGCACUCGGUACCGGCCACAAAACCAGUCUCCAAUCCUCCACCCUCGCCGACUGAUUCUUGCAAACCCUUGAUCAGGAAAACCGAAAAUCACGGGAGGAAACACAGGUGUGUAGUGUCCAACACCGAAAAAAAAUGGAACGCUUUU
RNAcentral lists this long non-coding RNA (208 nucleotides) under Helianthus annuus (common sunflower). Its description in RNAcentral is "hypothetical non coding rna". The record is from RNAcentral. Lineage: Eukaryota; Viridiplantae; Streptophyta; Magnoliopsida; Asterales; Asteraceae.